Molecule: long non-coding RNA, 247 nt
Filed under: Ananas comosus (pineapple)
Lineage: Eukaryota; Viridiplantae; Streptophyta; Magnoliopsida; Poales; Bromeliaceae
Description: long non-coding RNA (ACOM_LNC000723)
Source: RNAcentral
AGUAAGGGCUGUGUAAGAGAUGGAAAGUGGAGGGGCUUAUGUGCAAAAUGGCCAUAUGAGGGGUUAUUUGAGAGAGACCUUUCUCUCUCUCUCUCUCUGUCUCACACCCUCACACUCUCCCUCACUGUCUCUCUCCCUCUCUCUCUCUGUUCGUAGCAGAGGAAAAAGGAAAGGAAGAGAAGAGAGGAAGGAAAAGAAGAAAAAGAGAAAAGGGAAGGAGAAGAAGAAGAGGAUCAAGGAGAAGACU